Nilaparvata lugens (brown planthopper) is the source of this 430-nucleotide long non-coding RNA. RefSeq lists it as uncharacterized. The record is from RefSeq and is a predicted model, not a curated record. Lineage: Eukaryota; Metazoa; Arthropoda; Insecta; Hemiptera; Delphacidae. The transcript has 3 exons.
CAGAUUUCGGAUUGCUACGAUUAUACUGUGAAAUUAAUUUGCAGUAGAAAAUUGAGGUUUAAAAUAUUUCCAUUGAUUUCUUUAUUCUUAUAAUUUUUACAAGAGAAAUUGAAAAUGGAUUUAGAACAGAAAGGCGUAAAAUUCAUUAUAAAAUUGAUGUGACAGUUCAAAGUUUUGUACUUUCCAGACCUGCACAACGAAUUACCUAUUUGAAAAAUAGAAUAUGGUUAAAAAUUGCUGAUAUGAUAGAGGAUUCAAGUACUAUUUACAAACAAAAUAUUGAAGAGAAUGUGCUCAAAAGGAAAUGCAUAUGAAUUCUUUUUUGUUGACCAGGAUGGAAAAAUUCUUUGGAACCCAUGGUUAGAAUAAGUUAGUUAGGCCUAGAGGUGUACCAGCCAGAAGUAGAGGAUGACAAAGAAAAUCAACUAUG